This 496-nucleotide ribosomal RNA is filed under the name uncultured bacterium. RNAcentral describes it as "bacterial SSU rRNA". It matches the Rfam family "Bacterial small subunit ribosomal RNA", at positions 8 to 507 of the family's 1533-position model. The record is from RNAcentral.
AGAGUUUGAUCCUGGCUCAGGAUGAACGCUAGCGGCAGGCCUAAUACAUGCAAGUCGAACGCUCAGUAGCAAUAUUGGGAGUGGCGCACGGGUGCGUAACGCGUACACAAUCUACCUCUAAGCGGGGGACACCUCCUGGAAACGGGGAUUAAUACCGCAUAAUAUGCCGAGGUCGCAUGACUUUGGUAUUAAAGCAGCAAUGCACUUAGAGAUGAGUGUGCGUCCCAUUAGGUAGUUGGUGAGGUAACGGCUCACCAAGCCUAUGAUGGGUAGCCGGUCUGAGAGGAUGGUCGGCCACACGGGCACUGAGACACGGGCCCGACUCCUACGGGAGGCAGCAGUAAGGAAUAUUGGUCAAUGGUGGAAACACUGAACCAGCCAUGCCGCGUGGAGGAAUAAGGUCCUACGGAUUGUAAACUCCUUUUGACGAGGAAGAAAGUGUUAGAUUUAUCUAAUUUUGACGGUACUCGUAGAAUAAGCACCGGCUAACUCCGUG